GACGAACGCUGGCGGCGUGCUUAACACAUGCAAGUCGAACGGAAAGGCCCCUUUGGGGGUACUCGAGUGGCGAACGGGUGAGUAACACGUGAGUAACCUGCCCUUGACUUCGGGAUAACUUCAGGAAACUGGGGCUAAUACCGGAUAGGAAUCCUUGCUGCAUGGUGGGGGUUGGAAAGCUUCGGCGGUUUUGGAUGGACUCGCGGCUUAUCAGCUUGUUGGUGGGGUAGUGGCUUACCAAGGCUUUGACGGGUAGCCGGCCUGAGAGGGCGACCGGCCACAUUGGGACUGAGAUACGGCCCAGACUCCUACGGGAGGCAGCAGUGGGGAAUAUUGCACAAUGGGCGGAAGCCUGAUGCAGCAACGCCGCGUGCGGGGUGACGGCCUUCGGGUUGUAAACCGCUUUCAGCAGGGGCGAAGCUUGUGGUGACGGUACCUGCAGAAGAAGCACCGGCUAACUACGUG
Molecule: ribosomal RNA, 465 nt
Filed under: uncultured bacterium
Lineage: Bacteria
Description: partial 16S ribosomal RNA
Rfam family: Bacterial small subunit ribosomal RNA
Source: RNAcentral